GUUGUUGGGUAGGGGAGCGUUCUGUAAGCCGUUGAAGGUGUGCUGUGAGGCAUGCUGGAGGUAUCAGAAGUGCGAAUGCUGACAUAAGUAACGAUAAAGCGGGUGAAAAGCCCGCUCGCCGGAAGACCAAGGGUUCCUGUCCAACGUUAAUCGGGGCAGGGUGAGUCGACCCCUAAGGCGAGGCCGAAAGGCGUAGUCGAUGGGAAACAGGUUAAUAUUCCUGUACUUGGUGUUACUGCGAAGGGGGGACGGAGAAGGCUAUGUCAGCCGGGCGACGGUUGUCCCGGUUUAAGCAUGUAGGCGGAGGUUCCAGGUAAAUCCGGUACCUUAUUAACGCUGAGGUGUGAUGACGAGGCACUACGGUGCUGAAGUGAUAAAUGCCCUGCUUCCAGGAAAAGCCUCUAAGCAUCAGGUAACACGAAAUCGUACCCCAAACCGACACAGGUGGUCAGGUAGAGAAUACCAAGGCGCUUGAGAGAACUCGGGUGAAGGAACUAGGCAAAAUGGUGCCGUAACUUCGGGAGAAGGCACGCUGAUAGGUAGGUGAAGCCCCUGCGGGCGGAGCUGAAAUCAGUCGAAGAUACCAGCUGGCUGCAACUGUUUAUUAAAAACACAGCACUGUGCAAACACGAAAGUGGACGUAUACGGUGUGACGCCUGCCCGGUGCCGGAAGGUUAAUUGAUGGG
This 686-nucleotide ribosomal RNA is filed under the name Enterobacter hormaechei. Its description in RNAcentral is "partial 23S ribosomal RNA". It matches the Rfam family "Bacterial large subunit ribosomal RNA", at positions 1220 to 1888 of the family's 2925-position model. The record is from RNAcentral. Lineage: Bacteria; Pseudomonadati; Pseudomonadota; Gammaproteobacteria; Enterobacterales; Enterobacteriaceae.